Leptonychotes weddellii (Weddell seal) is the source of this 1399-nucleotide non-coding RNA. NCBI's taxonomy places the organism in Eukaryota, Metazoa, Chordata, Mammalia, Carnivora, Phocidae. The record is from RefSeq and is a predicted model, not a curated record.
CGAAAUCCAGAGUCAGAUGCUUAACCAACUGAACCACACAGGCACCUCGCUCUGUCCUUCUUUAAGAACACCAGACUGACGUUUUUAGCAGUGUACAUUAGGAUAUAAGCAUCUAAGCAUGUAGAUACCCUUUCUAGCUUCCUUUCCAGUUACUUUCUUAUAUAAAUUACUCUGUAUAUCCACCUCCAGCAUUGUUUCGCUUUCCAUUUCAUUUGUGCUGCUCUUUUUAGUAACUAUUUCUACAAAUGUAGGAGAUCUUCUUUGCUCUUUAUAGCUGGCUUAAAGUCCUCUUUUUAGUUCCAUUAUUCUCUGAGCAAAUGCAUUCUUAGCAUCAGUGCUAUACUCCGCUCUUACCUAAAAUCAUCCUCCUGUUAUUAUGCCAUAGCUUAUGACUCAACCCAAAUUCUGUCUUUCAAGUAGUACAAUAAAAAAAGUAAUAACAAUGGGAACUAUUUCCCUAAGUAUGUAUUGUCCACAAUUUCGUGUUCCCUAAAGGAUGCUUCUUUGUUGUCCCACGAAUCAGCAGGAUUUGCUGUGGUCAGCAGAGUCUGGAAGCCUCAGCACACUGGCACUUGCCAGGAAGUCCAUCAACACACUGGUGCCCAGGGGUGUUUUAAGGCAUUUGUCUCCGGGGCCGGUGACCGGCUUCCUUGAGGUUCCUCGAACCAACAUCAUUGUCCAGAAAAGGUUUGGGCUGCCCACGAACCUCAUGUUCGCCUGCACUCUGUGGUGUGCUUUCUUUACUUCCCCCUCAGUCUUCUCCUUUUGACUGAGUUUGUUGCUCCUGCGUAAAGCCAACGAGGCACUGCUGCUUUUCCCAAAGGCCCCAGUUUACUCUCUUUUUCUUGCCGUGGCACUUGAUCCUUUCUCAUUGCAACCAUCCGGAUACUCUUUGGUCUGCCUCCUGAGCUCGCUUCUACACCCAGGAACUGGUAUUCUCCUCAUUCCGUUGGGCAUGAAUACACGCAGUCCCCUCAGGUGGUACACCUAGCGUUGUUCCAGAUACCUCGCACCGCCCGCACUAAGACCACAUUGUCUCCGGCAGUUACCCAGGAGAACAUGUUUGGGAUGUGGAAGCCUGUGGUGUUCUUGGCUAUUGCGGCUGUGGCUCUGUAUGUGUUACCCAGCAUGCGACCGCAGGAGUCCGAGUUCUGCCUCAUGGAGUGAUGGCAGACCUGGGCCAGCCGAGGGGGCAGAUCCCCAGUGGCCACUACCCCCAGCUUUGGGCAGGACACACUGUGCCAGAGCCCCCACCCCACCCAUGUGUCCCAUGUGUCCCCAUCUCCUUAGCCUCAGUCACCCAGGCUGGAAAGGUUAUGGGGCGCUGCCGGCUGCCAUCUCCUGCCUUGUAUAAGAACCUGGGUUCCGUGUGAUUAAAUAUCAGCCUAAUUACCUGAGA